UAGCUUUUUGAUGUAAUGCAUCCAUUGGGCUCGAUUAAUAGUCCAAGUUUUGUUACUCCGGUUUGGGCCUGUCCAACCGUGAGCUGAUAGGGUUUAAUAUAAAUUGAUAUGCUUGCAUGCAUAUUAGACUAACGAUUGAGAAAAUUAUUGAUAGCAAUUACGAUAGAUUACAGAUUAUUUUCAUCGUUCUUGUAAACCCUAAAUCCUCUACAGUAGAAGUUCUUUAUCGAGCUCUGCUGAGGAUUGUUGAUCAAUCAUUCGACACACUUUGAUCCUUUCUUGUGUUAUUCGCUGUUUUCAUAUUUAUUAUUUUACCUGUUAUANAUUUAUUAUUUACCUGUUAUAAAGAUCUAAUCGAUCUUCAAGUUAUUUAUUAACUCUUCAUAAACGAAUUACCUACUCAAAUUUUAUUUGAUUUUGGAGCCAACUACUCAUUUAUUUCGCAUGAGUUUGGUAGAAAACUAGCUUUGCCUGUUGAUAGACUAGAAAAUGCUUUAUUAGUCGAAGUUGCUAGUGGCAAAUUUGUACCUGUUAGCCAUCGUAUGAAAGACGUCUUAAUCGACCUUAAUGGGAAUAAGUUUCACGAGGAAUUAUUGCCUAUCGAACUUAGUGGUUUCGACAUCGUUCUGGGAAUGGAUUGGCUUAGCGCCAAUGAUGCUGACAUAUUGUGCAAGAAGAAGAUAGUUAAAGUAAACCCGCCUGGGAAGGAUUCAUUUAUGGUGUACGGGGACAAACGGCGAGUAAAUUCUAGAAUCAUUUCUCUAAUGAAAGCCAGAAAGUGUUUGACCAAGGGAUGUACAUCAUAUUUAGCAUUCGUGAUUGAUGCUAAGAAGGAAAAGAAGGUGAUGCAGAGUAUUCCAGUGGUGUGUGAUUAUCCCGAAGUAUUUCCCGAAGAUCUUCCUGGAUUACCACCUGAUAGACAAGUGGAAUUCAGAAUUGACUUGUUACCAGGAACCACGCCAAUAGCAAAAGCACCUUAUCGAUUAGCACCGACGGAGAUGAAGGAGCUUAUGAUGCAACUUCAGGAGUUAGGACAAAGGUUUCAUUAGACCUAGUUCAUCGCCCUGGGGAGCUCCGGUGUUAUUUGUAAAGAAGAAAGAUGGAAGUAUGAGAAUGUGCAUCGAUUACAGAGAGCUGAACAAGGCAACAAUAAAGAAUAGAUAUCCGUUGCCGAGGAUUGAUGACCUGUUUGAUCAAUUGCAAGGUUCGAGCUAUUUCUCGAAGAUCGAUCUUAGGUCAGGAUAUCAUCAGCUGAAAGUAAGAGAGCAAG
This 1270-nucleotide long non-coding RNA is filed under the name Lactuca sativa (garden lettuce). RNAcentral's name for it is "long non-coding RNA (LSAT_LNC004948)". Lineage: Eukaryota; Viridiplantae; Streptophyta; Magnoliopsida; Asterales; Asteraceae. The record is from RNAcentral.